This 511-nucleotide ribosomal RNA is filed under the name Mycobacterium sp. SH2005-2. RNAcentral describes it as "bacterial SSU rRNA". It matches the Rfam family "Bacterial small subunit ribosomal RNA", at positions 50 to 576 of the family's 1533-position model. Lineage: Bacteria; Bacillati; Actinomycetota; Actinomycetes; Mycobacteriales; Mycobacteriaceae. The record is from RNAcentral.
AACACAUGCAAGUCGAACGGAAAGGCCCCUUCGGGGGUACUCGAGUGGCGAACGGGUGAGUAACACGUGGGUAAUCUGCCCUGCACUUCGGGAUAAGCCUGGGAAACUGGGUCUAAUACCGGAUAGGACCUUUAGGCGCAUGCCUUUUGGUGGAAAGCUUUUGCGGUGUGGGAUGGGCCCGCGGCCUAUCAGCUUGUUGGUGGGGUGACGGCCUACCAAGGCGACGACGGGUAGCCGGCCUGAGAGGGUGUCCGGCCACACUGGGACUGAGAUACGGCCCAGACUCCUACGGGAGGCAGCAGUGGGGAAUAUUGCACAAUGGGCGCAAGCCUGAUGCAGCGACGCCGCGUGGGGGAUGACGGCCUUCGGGUUGUAAACCUCUUUCAGCAGGGACGAAGCGCAAGUGACGGUACCUGCAGAAGAAGCACCGGCCAACUACGUGCCAGCAGCCGCGGUAAUACGUAGGGUGCGAGCGUUGUCCGGAAUUACUGGGCGUAAAGAGCUCGUAGGU